UCCGACGCUCAAGUCAGUUCUCUGCCUCAACAAGAAUGGAGUGCUCGAACGGAGAAUUUAGCAGAGUUUUGAGAUAAGGCAAAAGAGCUUAAAAAAUAACGUAUCUGAGUCCCCCCUUUUAUAGGUGGGGGAGGCAACGGACUGAUGGCGACGUGUGUAACCGCCUGGUAGUGGGCCGCCCAUGGUCAGGAGAAUUGAUUGCGAAAGAUAAUGGAGCAGACACGUGGCCAUCGUCAUAUCCCGCCACAUAGGGCCUGUAGCAGGUAGUGGGGCGGCGUCCGUUACUGCUAGUUGUCAGCGAGUAGUGGGAUCGUGCAGCACCUGCCACGGGGAGUGGAGCAGCAUCAUAGCUGUUGACACAACCUGUCAGAGAGUAGUGGGAUCGUGCAGCACCUGUCGCAGGGGGAGGUGGAGCCGCGUGGAAUCCGCUACAGGAAGUGGAACAGGAUCAUGGCAGUUAUUGUUAUCUACCAAGGGACACAGAUCUGUUGAUCAAGGCUCGGCAGUGGUCGGAGUUCGGCCUUUGUGAGAAUCCGGGAGGAGUCUGCCUGCGGCUGUAGUCGUUGGCGUCAGGGAUGAGGUUUGGCUCCCUUAAGGCUCGGCUCCUCCAGCAAUUGGUACCGAGAGUGGAGCUCGGGCGGAGCUGCAACUGCUGUCGAUGGUGGAGCCCGGCUCCGGUAGGAGUCCGGGCGGAGCUGCACUUGCUGAUGGCGGUGGAGUCCGGCUCCCGUAGGAGUCCGGGCGGAGCUGCGUUGCAAACAAAGUCAAGGGUGAAGUCCGGCUCUGAUAGG
RNAcentral lists this long non-coding RNA (791 nucleotides) under Elaeis guineensis (African oil palm). Its description in RNAcentral is "long non-coding RNA (EGUI_LNC063522)". Lineage: Eukaryota; Viridiplantae; Streptophyta; Magnoliopsida; Arecales; Arecaceae. The record is from RNAcentral.